This 254-nucleotide ribosomal RNA is filed under the name uncultured bacterium. RNAcentral describes it as "partial 16S ribosomal RNA". It matches the Rfam family "Bacterial small subunit ribosomal RNA", at positions 524 to 776 of the family's 1533-position model. The record is from RNAcentral.
UACGUAGGGUGCGAGCGUUACUCGGAAUUACUGGGCGUAAAGGGUGCGCAGGCGGUCUCGUAAGCUGGGUGUGAAAGCCCCGGGCUUAACCUGGGAAUGGCAUUCAGGACUGCGAGGCUUUGAGUGUGGCAGAGGGAGGUGGAAUUCCACGUGUAGCAGUGAAAUGCGUAGAGAUGUGGAGGAACACCGAUGGCGAAGGCAGCCUCCUGGGCCAGCACUGACGCUCAUGCACGAAAGCGUGGGGAGCAAACAGG